Drosophila suzukii is the source of this 1062-nucleotide non-coding RNA. NCBI's taxonomy places the organism in Eukaryota, Metazoa, Arthropoda, Insecta, Diptera, Drosophilidae. The record is from RefSeq and is a predicted model, not a curated record.
UUUGUCCCACAAUAGCAUCGCAGCGCCUCGCCUAUCGCAUAUCGUGUGUGUGUGUGCGUGUGGGUGCGUGUGUGUGUGCGCGCGCGCCGCCUGAAAAAUAAUAAUAAAACAACAACAAAUAAACAAAAUAGCAACAACAACCACAACAACAAACCAUAAUCAUAAUCAUAAUAAACAAUGGAUACGCGUAAAAAUCGUAAAUGCUAAAUAUUCGGUAAACAAAAAAGCAUUGCCGUGUGUAUUUUUUGUUCUUGUUUUACCUAUUUUUUUUUUCAAGUGCCCCUCGCACGUGUGUGCAAAACAACAACACAACGCGAGCGAGCGAGAGAGAGAGAGGGAGAGAGAGAAGCUGUAAAUUACAUAAAAGAAGCAGCAGAAAUAAAGAUAACAGAUAACAGAGUGGAAUGAUAAGCGGCAAAAAAAAAAUAAAGCGAAAAAUACACCAAAAAGUAUUGCCAGUAAUUACAACAAAAAUAUAUAUACAACAAGUCGUUUAAAAGUUAGUGCAAAAUAAACAAAACAAAAAUCAAACAAACAAAGGGCGGCAUCAAAAAAAAAAAGCUAAAAAGCGUGCCAGCAAAGCACAAUAAAAAAUAGAAAACACACACAAAAAACCGAAUGCAACCAAAAAAUCUUCCAAAUUCGUAAAGCCAAGAAAAUCGCCAAAGUCGCCGAAAUUCCAAAUAUACCAAAAACCCAAAACUACAAUACAUGCUACAAUAAAACCCCUCAGUGAAAAUACAAUAAAUCAAAAUACUCCAUAUAAAACCAAUAUUACUAAAUUGUUAAAUAGCAAACAAUAGAAACAAAGACAAUAGAAGAGCCACAACUAAAACUCUAAAUGUAGUUAAAUAUACAAUAAACUAAAAAAAAGUUCAGUAGACAAAACCAAUUUUUGAAAACAAGAAACAUAACAGUAAUUGAGACAGUAUAAACCUCUUCAAACCGAAAUAAAAGACUAAAAAGAAUAUAAAAAGCUUUAUAUUUGUAUUAUUAACCAAAAAGAUCCCGAACCCAACUCAACAUCGAAUUUCAAAAGCUAAACAAAUAACAGUGUGAAAC